UAAAUAACAUAAAAACAGCAACGGUUUAUAUUCAGAUACAAUUUAUUAUUGAGUUCUUCUGAGUUAUAGAAACUCCAAUGGCGGCACUCGAAUAUGAGCGUACUUUAGAGAAAACUCCAACAUGGGCAGUUGCUGCGGUCUGUUUUGUGUUGCUUGUAAUAUCAAUUUUCAUCGAGCAUGUCAUCAACUUCAUAGGAAAGUGGUUUAGAAGUAGACAGAAGCGAGCUCUCUAUGAAGCUCUUGAGAAGAUCAAAUCAGAGCUUAUGCUGUUGGGAUUCCUAUCCUUGCUCCUAACAGUUCUACAAGAUCCAAUUUCUGGUAUAUGUAUACCAAAGAGUGUUGCAGCCACUUGGCAUCCUUGCAAUGAUGACCCUCCAAAGACUACAGCUGGGAAACUUGAGGAAUACUCAGAUUCUGGCUUCAUUUUCCGGCGCCAAUUAGCCACAAAAGGAUAUGAUAAGUGCACGGCUCAUGGUAAAGUUGCCUUUGUGUCUGCAUAUGGGAUUCACCAGCUCCAUAUAUUCAUCUUUGUGCUAGCAAUUUUUCAUGUGCUCUACUGCAUCACAACUUUGUUUUUGGGAAGACACAAGAUGAGAAUAUGGAAGUAUUGGGAGAAUGAGACAAAAACAAUUGAAUACCAGUUUAGUACUGAUCCAGAAAGGUUUAGGUAUACGAGGGAUACAUCAUUUGGAAAGAGGCAUUUACACUUCUGGAGCGAGUCACCAGUUUUCCUUUGGAUUGUAUGCUUCUUCAGACAGUUCUACAGGUCAGUUACUAAGACUGAUUACCUGACUCUGAGGCAUGGCUUUAUCACGGCACAUUUAGCACCUGGGAGUGAAACGACCUUUGAUUUUCGGAAGUACAUAAGUAGAUCACUUGAAGAUGACUUCUUAGUUAUUGUUGAGAUAAGUCCAAUUAUAUGGUUCUCAGCAGUGCUGUUCCUGUUGUCUAAUGCAUAUGGAUGGCAUUCGUAUCUCUGGCUACCAUUUAUCUCUUUAAUUAUAAUCCUUGUGGUGGGAACUAAACUACAAGUGAUUAUAACCAAGCUGGGGCUAAGGAUUCAGGAUAGAGGGGGUGUGGUGAUGGGUGCACCGCUUGUUCAACCCGGUGAUCAGCACUUCUGGUUUGGACGCCCGCGCUUCUUGCUCUUCCUCAUCCACUUUGCUUUAUUCCAGAAUGCAUUUCAGCUGGCCUUCUUUGCAUGGAGUACUUGGCAGUUUGGGAUAACUUCUUGCUUCCAUCAAACCCCUCAAGAUACCGCCAUCAGGCUCUCAGUGGGGGUUAUCGUACAAGUUUUAUGUAGUUAUGUGACUCUGCCACUCUAUGCUCUAGUGACACAGAUGGGUUCAAAUAUGAAACCCAAUAGUUUUGAAGAGGGAGUGGCAGAAGCAGUGAAAAAUUGGCAUCACGAAGACAAAAAAGAAAGCAAAGCACAGCCAGCAUUCAGAGAGAACCACACCAUUCUCAACUCCUCCACAUGGCACGUCACCAAUUCAUCUAUUGCAGAAUGCCAACAACCGCAGUGAGGUCACUGAUGGGGAUGACCUAUUUCCACCUCCAGACGCAUCAGUCGUAGUUGAUAUGCAACAUUGGGACACUGAAGGGUCACGUUCCCCGAAGAACAAUGUUGGAUCGAGUGAAAGAGGAGGAAUUAGGCAACCUAGUACUUUUGAGUUAGGCCGAAUUCAAGAGCUACCUGCAUUCUCCUUGUCUCACCCUGAAGUUAGUAGUCCCUCAGGCAUCUCAUCUGCUAGAGCAAGAAAGUGAAAGAGUUCGACUAUGGAAAAUCACUGCUAAUGUACAACAUUUUUUCUUUUCUUCUGCUAGCUAGGGCAUUUCAGAAACAAUGGCUGGCAUAUGUCAUCGUAUAGUUGUAUUACGUAGGAUAUACGAAUACAGCAAAAUGAGCAAAUGCAAGAUGGUACAGUAAGAUUGUUUAAUCUUUUAGGCUUGGCAUAUUUACUUCAAUAAAUUUAAUUUGUUCUUUUGUACAUAUUGUAAACACGAAAUUAUCUGCGACAAAUAACAGAAAAACACGUGUACAAAAUAAAAUAUUUGUAUUAAUGAAUUUAUGGGUUACAAUCUCUAUGGGUAUUCUUUAACAAGAAUUUCCUCUGAUUCGAUCUCCGACGUCGAUUUGAUUCAAGGGUGACGAGCACUUGAUCUUGAAUCGAAUGGUCAUAGUUUAGACUUCUUGUCGUGUUGACAAUUUGUAAAAGAAAGUUGACCAAGGGCCAUAGAGGCUUGAUCUUGAUUGGAUUUGGCCACGAGCGGUUUCACGUGGUGAAUGUUCUUUGGCUUUGAUGGCAGAUGAAUUAGCACGUGUGUUCGGUGCUUGUUGAUUACCCACAAGCUUGUUGAAGAACUUGAUAUAAGUUUUGAUUUGUUGAAGACUUGAAGACUAGCAAGGUUGAUCAAGGGCCGUGGAGGUUUUAUGUUGAUCGGGUUUGAUCCACGAGCGGUUUCACGUGGUGGUUUGUUCUUCGUCUUGAAGUUGGUGAAGAUGUCGGCUAUUGGCAGCUUGGUGACUCUUCGGGUUUGACAACUUCUAAGCCUUCGGAUUGGAGAAAGAAUAAGCUAUUUGGAACCUUGGUAGUUCUUCACAAAGUGUUUUGAGACUUCUGAGCUUUCGGGAGUAAUUUGUUCUCUCUUGCCCGAAGUCC
RNA transcript from Fragaria vesca subsp. vesca, 2663 nucleotides. It is a transcript of the gene named MLO-like protein 6-like, with no coding region annotated. The transcript has 15 exons. NCBI's taxonomy places the organism in Eukaryota, Viridiplantae, Streptophyta, Magnoliopsida, Rosales, Rosaceae. The record is from RefSeq and is a predicted model, not a curated record.